Molecule: ribosomal RNA, 267 nt
Filed under: uncultured Haliangium sp.
Lineage: Bacteria; Pseudomonadati; Myxococcota; Haliangiales; Kofleriaceae
Description: partial 16S ribosomal RNA
Rfam family: Bacterial small subunit ribosomal RNA
Source: RNAcentral
ACUAUUCUUUAUGAUGUUGGGCACUCUAUCGAGACCGACGGCGACAAGCCGUAGGAAGGUGGGAUGAUGUCAAGUCAGCAUGGCCUUUAUAUCCAGGGCUACACACGUCCUACAAUGACCGGUACAAAGGGAAGCAAGACCGCGAGGUGGAGCAAAUCCCAAAAAGCCGGCCUCAGUGCGGAUUGCAGUCUGCAACUCGACUGCAUGAAGUUGGAAUCGCUAGUAAUCGCAGGUCAGCAUACUGCGGUGAAUACGUUCCCGGGCCUU